AUUGAACGCUGGCGGAAUGCUUUACACAUGCAAGUCGAACGGCAGCACGGACUUCGGUCUGGUGGCGAGUGGCGAACGGGUGAGUAAUGUAUCGGAACGUGCCCAGUCGUGGGGGAUAACGUAGUGAGAAUUACGCUAAUACCGCAUACGAUCUAUGGAUGAAAGCGGGGGACCGCAAGACCUCGCGCGAUUGGAGCGGCCGAUAUCAGAUUAGGUAGUUGGUGGGGUAAAGGCCCACCAAGCCAACGAUCUGUAGCUGGUCUGAGAAGACGACCAGCCACACUGGAACUGAGACACGGUCCAGACUCCUACGGGAGGCAGCAGUGGGGAAUUUUGGACAAUGGGCGAAAGCCUGAUCCAGCCAUUCCGCGUGCAGGAUGAAGGCCCUCGGGUUGUAAACUGCUUUUGUACAGAACGAAGAGGUUUCUACUAAUACUAGGAGCUCAUGACGGUACUGUAAGAAUAAGCACCGGCUAACUACGUGCCAGCCGCCGCAGUAA
RNAcentral lists this ribosomal RNA (500 nucleotides) under uncultured bacterium. Its description in RNAcentral is "partial 16S ribosomal RNA". It matches the Rfam family "Bacterial small subunit ribosomal RNA", at positions 30 to 523 of the family's 1533-position model. The record is from RNAcentral.